This 111-nucleotide ribosomal RNA is filed under the name Bifidobacterium longum. Lineage: Bacteria; Bacillati; Actinomycetota; Actinomycetes; Bifidobacteriales; Bifidobacteriaceae. The record is from RNAcentral.
GGCCAUGGCCCAGGUGAGACGCCCGGUCCCAUUCCGAACCCGGAAGCUAAGGCCUGGCACGGCGAUGGUACUGCACCCGACAGGGUGUGGGAGAGUAGCACGCCGCCGCAC